This 289-nucleotide ribosomal RNA is filed under the name Acinetobacter baumannii. RNAcentral's name for it is "partial 16S ribosomal RNA". It matches the Rfam family "Bacterial small subunit ribosomal RNA", at positions 1 to 290 of the family's 1533-position model. The record is from RNAcentral. Lineage: Bacteria; Pseudomonadati; Pseudomonadota; Gammaproteobacteria; Moraxellales; Moraxellaceae.
UUUAACUGAAGAGUUUGAUCAUGGCUCAGAUUGAACGCUGGCGGCAGGCUUAACACAUGCAAGUCGAGCGGGGGAAGGUAGCUUGCUACUGGACCUAGCGGCGGACGGGUGAGUAAUGCUUAGGAAUCUGCCUAUUAGUGGGGGACAACAUCUCGAAAGGGAUGCUAAUACCGCAUACGUCCUACGGGAGAAAGCAGGGGAUCUUCGGACCUUGCGCUAAUAGAUGAGCCUAAGUCGGAUUAGCUAGUUGGUGGGGUAAAGGCCUACCAAGGCGACGAUCUGUAGCGGG